AGGAUUUUGUGACCUCUUCUGGGCAUUUCUGAAGAUUGGGAACUUGUCUUCCAAGAUGGUUUUGAAGUCAGUUUCCCUAAAAACUGGAAAUUGAAUUCCCUGUCAAAGUUAUUUACCAGAUAUGUCAGCAUUGCACCAUCAAUGUAGUGAAUAAAAACGAUCAGGUUCCGCUGUUCUCAUUCUGAAAUACUUCUGUGAUAUCCCACUCCAUGGUAAAUGAGAGCUGCUGAAGAAACAUCAUCAUCAUCAUCAUCAAAAAUAACACUAGAAUGCUUACCUGUAUCACUUGCUAUUUUAAGUGCUAACAUAUACCAACUUGAUAAUCCUCACAUUCUCUAUGAAGUAAGUACUCUCAUUAAUCCAUAGUUUAAAAAAUGAAUCAAUAGAGAUAAGAAUUUAAGUAAUGUGACCAAAAUUAUAUGGCCAUUUGGUAGGCCCACCAGAUUACAAUCCAGGCAGCCUGGCUCCAUUGCAUUCUCUUAACUACCCUGCCACUUCCUACUAAGGAAAAAAAAAAAUCAUACACCCAGAUUCACUGCGGAUAACUGUAAUUUUUAUAAUCCUUAAUUUUAACUGGGUUUCUGACAUGACACGUAAUCCAUCUCAUUUUUUUUAAUUGGAAUUUGAUAUGGAAGAGCCAAACAUUGAGAAUUUGC
Felis catus (domestic cat) is the source of this 656-nucleotide long non-coding RNA. RefSeq lists it as uncharacterized. The transcript has 3 exons. NCBI's taxonomy places the organism in Eukaryota, Metazoa, Chordata, Mammalia, Carnivora, Felidae. The record is from RefSeq and is a predicted model, not a curated record.